RNAcentral lists this ribosomal RNA (482 nucleotides) under uncultured bacterium. RNAcentral describes it as "partial 16S ribosomal RNA". It matches the Rfam family "Bacterial small subunit ribosomal RNA", at positions 30 to 507 of the family's 1533-position model. The record is from RNAcentral.
AUUGAACGCUGGCGGCAUGCUUUACACAUGCAAGUCGAACGGUAACAGGCCGCAAGGUGCUGACGAGUGGCGCACGGGUGAGUAAUGCAUCGGAACGUGCCCAGUCGUGGGGGAUAACUACUCGAAAGAGUAGCUAAUACCGCAUACGAUCUAUGGAUGAAAGCGGGGGACCGUAAGGCCUCGCGCGAUUGGAGCGGCCGAUGUCAGAUUAGGUAGUUGGUGGGGUAAAGGCUCACCAAGCCAACGAUCUGUAGCUGGUCUGAGAGGACGACCAGCCACACUGGGACUGAGACACGGCCCAGACUCCUACGGGAGGCAGCAGUGGGGAAUUUUGGACAAAGGGCACAAGCCUGAUCCAGCAAUGCCGCGUGCAGGAAGAAGGCCUUCGGGUUGUAAACUGCUUUUGUACGGAACGAAACGGCUCUGGUUAAUACCCGGGGCUAAUGACGGUACCGUAAGAAUAAGCACCGGCUAACUACGUG